This 256-nucleotide ribosomal RNA is filed under the name uncultured bacterium. Its description in RNAcentral is "partial 16S ribosomal RNA". It matches the Rfam family "Bacterial small subunit ribosomal RNA", at positions 524 to 776 of the family's 1533-position model. The record is from RNAcentral.
UACGGAGGGUGCGAGCGUCGUUCGGAAUCACUGGGCGUAAAGGGCGUGUAGGCGGUCCGCUAAGUCUGAUGUGAAAGCCCGGGGCUCACCCCCCGGAAGGGCAUUGGAAACUGACGGACUCGAGUCCCGAAGAGGAGGGUGGAAGUUCCUGGUGUAGCGGUGAAAUGCGUAGAUAUCAGGAGGAACACCGGUGGCGAAGGCGGCCCUCUGGACGGUGACUGACGCUGGAGACGCGAAAGCGUGGGGAGCAAACAGG